AAGUCGUAACAAGGUUUCCGUAGGUGAACCUGCGGAAGGAUCAUUACCAAAAUUUCCACAAUUUCGUUGGUUAAAUAACCAAUGUUAUACACCAUUGCAAAACUGUUGCCAGGUCUUUGGCGGUUUGGUUUUAUUAUGAGAUGUUACUAAUAGUAUUAUUAGCGCAAUGGAAGGAGAAGGUUAUUCUUUUCUUUCCAAUUGCGUGAAAUUGUAUUAUCUUGGUACAUCCCUAUAAUGAGAAUGGUUUAUUCUCGACCCCGCCAGAGUUACCAAAAACUUUAUUCUACUACUUUGUGUUUCUAUUUUACUGUCGUACAAUUGCGUAUUUAUUUGAAAAAAUAAAAGACCAACUUUUGACAACGGAUCUCUUGGUUCUC
This 377-nucleotide unclassified non-coding RNA is filed under the name fungal sp. Its description in RNAcentral is "partial internal transcribed spacer region". The stretch from base 1 to 46 matches the Rfam family "Eukaryotic small subunit ribosomal RNA", at positions 1786 to 1831 of the family's 1831-position model. Lineage: Eukaryota; Fungi. The record is from RNAcentral.